RNAcentral lists this unclassified non-coding RNA (373 nucleotides) under soil metagenome. RNAcentral describes it as "partial contains internal transcribed spacer 2 and large subunit ribosomal RNA". The stretch from base 1 to 120 matches the Rfam family "5.8S ribosomal RNA", at positions 35 to 154 of the family's 154-position model. The record is from RNAcentral.
GAUGAAGAACGUAGCGAAAUGCGAUAAUUAAUGUGAAUUGCAGAAUUCCGUGAAUCAUCGAGUCUUUGAACGCACAUUGCGCCUCAUGGCAUUCCGUGAGGCAUGCCCAUCUCAGCGUUAGAAAAUAUUCUCAAAUUUUAGUUUUGUGCUAAAAUUUGGAUCAUGUCAAGGAAGCUAUUACUAUUAUUGUGAUCGCUCUUUGGAAAUUGAUAGGUCUUUGAGUUGCUACUCAUAGAACGUGAUGAAUCUUUCUUCGUUCUAUUGUAAUUCACUCUGGUAGUCCUAAAACUUGUAUGCCUGUGGCAUAUCUUGUAAUUUGACCUGAGAUUGGGUAGGGAUACCCGCUGAACUUAAGCAUAUCAUAAGCGGAGGA